GCAUUGGUGGUUCAGUGGUUGAAUUUUUGCCUUUAAUGUGGGAGAACCUGGUUUGAUUCCUGGCCAACUCA
RNAcentral lists this transfer RNA (71 nucleotides) under Loxodonta africana (African savanna elephant). It matches the Rfam family "tRNA". Rfam says of the family: Transfer RNA (tRNA) molecules are approximately 80 nucleotides in length. Lineage: Eukaryota; Metazoa; Chordata; Mammalia; Proboscidea; Elephantidae. The record is from Rfam by way of RNAcentral.